UUGCCAUAGUACUCUUGAGGUGGAAUGCUUACACUUUCGUUUAUACAUUAAAUAUAUAUAUCUAAUGUAUGACAUUCAUCAUUGUCUGCUUGGACUAUUAGGGUAUCUAAUCCUGUUUGCUACCCAAGCCUUCGUCUCUCAACGUCAGUUAUUACAUAGAAGGACGCCUUCGCCGUUGACAGUCCUCCUGGUAUCAUCAAAUUUUAUCUCUACUCCAGAAAUUCUUCCUUCUCUCAUAUAACUCUAGUAAAAAAGUACUCGUUUAGAGUUUAAUUUACCGUCUACUUACCCUUUAAACCCAAUAAAGAUAACUAACACUAGCCUCCUACGUAUUACCGCACUGCUGGCACGUGUUUGGUCAAGACUUAUAAAUAGAUUAUGUCAUUAUAUCUAUUAUUUAGCGUAUCGAUGACCU
RNAcentral lists this ribosomal RNA (415 nucleotides) under Penicillium polonicum. RNAcentral's name for it is "partial mtSSU small subunit ribosomal RNA". Lineage: Eukaryota; Fungi; Ascomycota; Eurotiomycetes; Eurotiales; Aspergillaceae. The record is from RNAcentral.